Molecule: long non-coding RNA, 556 nt
Organism: Gallus gallus (chicken)
Lineage: Eukaryota; Metazoa; Chordata; Aves; Galliformes; Phasianidae
Source: Ensembl
AUACACUGUGCUCAAGAGUCAUUCCUGUGCGGGUGCAAGGCACAUUUCAUGUUUCUUAACUGUAUUUUUUUUUUCUUUCUUUCUUUCUUUUUUUUUUUUUUUCUUUCCUGUGUGCCUAGCAAAGGACGCUUUUUAUUCAGAAAAAAUUCAGUAAGGAAGGAACUGUCAGCAGCACAGUAACUUUGUUACCAUUUUCUUUCCUGCACUCUAAAUCUGAAAAAUCCAACUGAAAUUAAGUUGUAUGAAAUAAAAUCAAUUACUUCAAAUCAAGGAAAAAAACACUUCAGUUCCACAGAUCUUCUGCUAGCAGCUGCAACUGAGAAGACACCUAAGUUUACUUGGUCCACAUGGAGACUGGGAAAGAUAAGACCUCGAAUGUUAAUAUGAGCAGAAACAAUAGAUGAACAAGGUGCAUAAAAUAACCAACCUUAAAAUAAUAAAAAGCUACUAUCUGUAAUAAUGUGUUUCCAUACUCUGUAACACCAUCAAUGAGUGCUAAAACAGUCCAUCCCCAUUCACUCCUGUUGAUGUCAUUUCCACUGUUACAAGAUCAGCC